GUCCUGACUUUUCUAUCAGUUCUAACACAACUUACACAUGCAAGUAUCCGCAGCCCUGUGAGGAUGCCCUUAAUCCCCAGCCCGGGGACGAGGAGCAGGCAUCAGGCACCAACAUUUUAGCCCAAGACGCCUUGCCACGCCACACCCCCAAGGGAAUUCAGCAGUGAUAAAUAUUAAGCCAUAAGUGAAAACUUGACUUAGUCAGUGUUAAGAGGGCCGGUAAAACUCGUGCCAGCCACCGCGGUUAUACGAGAGGCCCUAAUUGAUAAAUACCGGCGUAAAGGGUGGUUAAGGAGAGCAAAAAUAAAGCCAAAGGGCCUCCUGGCCGUCAUACGCUUACUGAGUGUCCGAAGCCCAAAAACGAAAGUAGCUUUAACAUAGCCCACCUGACCCCACGAAAGCUGAGAAACAAACUGGGAUUAGAUACCCCACUAUGCUCAGCCGUAAACCUAGACGUUACACCACAACAAACGUCCGCCAGGGUACUACGAGCGUUAGCUUAAAACCCAAAGGACUGGCGGUGCCUUAGACCCCCCUAGAGGAGCCUGUUCUAGAACCGAUAACCCCCGUUAAACCUCACCAUUUCUGGUUAUUCCCGCCUAUAUACCGCCGUCGUCAGCUUACCCUGUGAAGGAUUAAUAGUAAGCUAAAUGAAUAUACUCCAAAACGUCAGGUCGAGGUGUAGCGCACGAAGUGGGAAGAAAUGGGCUACAUUUUCUAAGUUAGAAUAUUACGGACAGCAACCUGAAAAAUUACUCAAAGGAGGAUUUAGUAGUAAAAAGGAAAUAGAGCGUCCUUUUGAACUCGGCUCUGAGGCGCGUACACACCGCCCGUCACUCUCCCCUGUCACACAGCGACAAAUGUUCUUAACACCAAAGCACUGACAAGGGGAGGCAAGUCGUAACAUGGUAAGUGUACCGGAAGGUGUACUUGGAUCAAAUA
This 942-nucleotide non-coding RNA is filed under the name Lefua torrentis. RNAcentral describes it as "partial 12S ribosomal RNA". It matches the Rfam family "Bacterial small subunit ribosomal RNA". The record is from RNAcentral. Lineage: Eukaryota; Metazoa; Chordata; Actinopteri; Cypriniformes; Nemacheilidae.